CCUACGGGAGGCAGCAGUGGGGAAUAUUGCACAAUGGGGGGAACCCUGAUGCAGCAAUGCCGCGUGGGUGAAGAAGGACUCCGGAGCGUAAAGCCCUGUCAGCAGGGAAGAAAAUGACAGUAACUGGACAAGAAGCCCCGGCUAACUACGUGCCAGCAGCCGCGGUAAUACGAAGGGGGCAAGCGUUAUCCGGAUUGACUGGGUGAACAGGGAGCGGAGGCGGCGUGGCAAGUCUGAUGUGAAAACCCGGGGCCCAACCCCGGGAGUGCAUUUGAAACUGCCAUGCUGUAGUGCCGGAGAGGUAAGCGGAAUUCCUUGUGUAGCGGUGAACUGCGUAGAUAUUAGGAGGAACACCAGUGGCGAAGGCGGCUUACUGGACUGUAACUGACGCUGAGGCUCGAAAGCGUGGGGAGCAAACAGGAUUAGAUACCCUUGUAGUC
RNAcentral lists this ribosomal RNA (440 nucleotides) under uncultured bacterium. RNAcentral's name for it is "partial 16S ribosomal RNA". It matches the Rfam family "Bacterial small subunit ribosomal RNA", at positions 338 to 795 of the family's 1533-position model. The record is from RNAcentral.